This 425-nucleotide ribosomal RNA is filed under the name uncultured bacterium. RNAcentral's name for it is "partial 16S ribosomal RNA". It matches the Rfam family "Bacterial small subunit ribosomal RNA", at positions 354 to 796 of the family's 1533-position model. The record is from RNAcentral.
GUGGGGAAUCUUGCACAAUGGGCGAAAGCCUGAUGCAGCCAUGCCGCGUGAAUGAUGAAGGCCUUAGGGUUGUAAAAUUCUUUCACCGGGGACGAUAAUGACGGUACCCGGAGAAGAAGCCCCGGCUAACUUCGUGCCAGCAGCCGCGGUAAUACGAAGGGGGCUAGCGUUGCUCGGAAUUACUGGGCGUAAAGGGCGCGUAGGCGGAUCGUUAAGUCAGGGGUGAAAUCCCAGAGCUCAACUCUGGAACUGCCCUUGAUACUGGCGAUCUUGAGUGUGAGAGAGGUAUGUGGAACUCCGAGUGUAGAGGUGAAAUUCGUAGAUAUUCGGAAGAACACCAGUGGCGAAGGCGACAUACUGGCUCAUUACUGACGCUGAGGCGCGAAAGCGUGGGGAGCAAACAGGAUUAGAUACCCCGGUAGUCC